Molecule: unclassified non-coding RNA, 428 nt
Filed under: soil metagenome
Description: partial contains 5.8S ribosomal RNA, internal transcribed spacer 2, and large subunit ribosomal RNA
Rfam family: 5.8S ribosomal RNA (bases 1-120)
Source: RNAcentral
GAUGAAGAACGCAUCGAAACGCGAUACGUAAUGUGAAUUGCAGAAUUCAGUGAAUCAUCGAAUCUUUGAACGCACCUUGCGCCCCUCGGCAUUCCGAGGGGCAUGCCUGUUUGAGUGUCACGGAUCCUUCGAACCCCGCCGGUCUCCGACGAGCCGGCCGCCUGGGUUCGGUCCUGGGCGCUACGCCACCCCUCCGGGGCUGGACCGCCUCAAAAGCAUCAGCUGGGCCUCGCGGCGUGGGCGGGCUCCGAUCGGCGUGAUAAGUCAUCUGCCGAGAGGGUGCCCGUCCGUCCCGCGGAUCGCGGUCCGCUCCCAACCCCUCCCCGCGCGCCGUCCCCCCCCGGGGAGCGCGCGGGGACGUUUCGACGCUCUGGCCUCAAAUCAGGUAGGACCACCCGCUGAACUUAAGCAUAUCAAUAAGCGGAGGA